Molecule: microRNA precursor, 205 nt
Organism: Oryza sativa Indica Group (long-grained rice)
Lineage: Eukaryota; Viridiplantae; Streptophyta; Magnoliopsida; Poales; Poaceae
Rfam family: MIR812 microRNA precursor family
Source: Rfam
AAAAAGACAAACCCUGGUUUCUGUGCCCAACGUUUGACCGUCUGUUUUAUUUGAAAAAGUUAUGAAAAAAAUUAAAAAGACAAGUCAUGUAUAAAAUAUUAAUCAUGUUUUAUCAUCUAACAACAAUAAAAAUACGAAUUAUAAAAAAAAUUCAUAUAAGACGGACAAUCAAAGUUAGACACGGAAAUCCAGGGUUUGCCUUUUU